AGAUUGAACGCUGGCGGCAGGCCUAACACAUGCAAGUCGAGCGGCAGCACGGGUACUUGUACCUGGUGGCGAGCGGCGGACGGGUGAGUAAUGCCUAGGAAUCUGCCUGGUGGUGGGGGAUAACGCUCGGAAACGGACGCUAAUACCGCAUACGUCCUACGGGAGAAAGCAGGGGACCUUCGGGCCUUGCGCUAUCAGAUGAGCCUAGGUCGGAUUAGCUAGUUGGUGAGGUAAUGGCUCACCAAGGCGACGAUCCGUAACUGGUCUGAGAGGAUGAUCAGUCACACUGGAACUGAGACACGGUCCAGACUCCUACGGGAGGCAGCAGUGGGGAAUAUUGGACAAUGGGCGAAAGCCUGAUCCAGCCAAUGCCGCGUGUGUGAAGAAGUCUUCGGAUUGAAAGCACUUUAAAGUUGGAGGAAGGCAGUUAACCUAAUACGUAUCUGUUUUGACGUUACCGACAAGAAUAAAGCACGCUAA
Molecule: ribosomal RNA, 480 nt
Filed under: uncultured soil bacterium
Lineage: Bacteria
Description: bacterial SSU rRNA
Rfam family: Bacterial small subunit ribosomal RNA
Source: RNAcentral